This 677-nucleotide long non-coding RNA is filed under the name Gossypium barbadense (sea-island cotton). Its description in RNAcentral is "long non-coding RNA (GBAR_LNC003713)". Lineage: Eukaryota; Viridiplantae; Streptophyta; Magnoliopsida; Malvales; Malvaceae. The record is from RNAcentral.
UUGGAGUGCCUGAGAAUAAUGCCGAAGACUUAACAACCUGCAAAUGUGGACCCAUGGUUUGCGCAUUGACUAGAGCAGGAGAAACAGUUUGCAUGCUAGUAGCUGAGCCAGUUGAAGGGAUCCCUGAAGCAGUGGAACGCUGCAAGGUUUGUGCAUUGACUACAGCAGGUGAAACAGUUUGCAUACUAGAAGCUGAGCCAGUUGGAGGGAUCCCUGAAGCAGUGGAAGGCUGCAAGGUUUGUGCAUUGGCUGCAGCAAGUGAAACAGUUUGCACAGUAGAAGUUGAGCUAGUUGAAGGUAUCCCUGAAGUAGUAGAACGCUGCAAAGUUUGUGCAUUGACUACAACAGGUGAAACAGUUUGCACAGUAGAAGCUGAGCCAGUUGAAGGGAUCCCUGAAGUAGUAGAACGCUGCAAGGUUUGUGCAUUGACUACAGCAGGUGAAACAGUUUGCAUGGUAGAAGCUGAGCCAGUUGAAGGAAUCCCUGAAGCAGUACAACGCUGCAAUGUUUGUGCAUUGACUACAGCAGGUGAAACAGUUUGCAUAGUAGAAGCUGAGCCAGUUGAAGGGAUCCCUGAAGCAGUAGAACGCUGCAAUAUUUGUGCAUUAACUACAGCGGGUGAAACAGUUCGCAUACUAGAAGCUGAGCCAGUUGAAGGGAGACCAGAAGCAGCAGGA